Long non-coding RNA from Platichthys flesus (European flounder), 503 nucleotides. RefSeq lists it as uncharacterized. The transcript has 2 exons. The record is from RefSeq and is a predicted model, not a curated record. NCBI's taxonomy places the organism in Eukaryota, Metazoa, Chordata, Actinopteri, Pleuronectiformes, Pleuronectidae.
UGGCGCUGCGACUGGCUGCCACGGUGUGUUGGUGCGCACUUCUGUGUUAGUUUUUAGAAUUUAAUUCUGUUAAUUGCGACCCAACUCGGCUUUCACGAUGGACGAGCUUCUUAACAUCAGGGACACAACACCACCUGAUUUAUGUCCCAACUUUCUCGCCUCCUCCGUGGAUUUAGUGGAUUUACUGAUUAAAGAUGGAUAUGAUCAUCUCAUCGUUUACCAAAAACUGCCAUGUGAUGGAGGAACCCUUCAGCUGACUGGCAUACAGGAAAACAAAAGACUUGAUGACCCCCUUGUGCCUUUCUAAAGGGACCACAAACCAAACAAAGCAUCCUAUCAGUGCUUACAGGCUGUUCAAUCAACUAAUCUCACAUUAACCCGGCUCUUUAUCAAACAAUUUUACCCUACAUCUAAUUAUAUACUGUCUUAGUAGUGUAGCUCAUGUUAGGAGAAUGUCAAAAACAAAUUGUAAGCAGUGUAUUAAUUAAAAAUAAUUGAAAAUC